This 76-nucleotide transfer RNA is filed under the name Pseudonocardiales bacterium. RNAcentral describes it as "tRNA-Arg". It matches the Rfam family "tRNA". Rfam says of the family: Transfer RNA (tRNA) molecules are approximately 80 nucleotides in length. Their secondary structure includes four short double-helical elements and three loops (D, anti-codon, and T loops). The record is from RNAcentral. Lineage: Bacteria; Bacillati; Actinomycetota; Actinomycetes; Pseudonocardiales.
GCCCCCGUAGCUCAGUGGAUAGAGCAGUCGCCUUCUAAGCGAUUGGUCGCAGGUUCGAGUCCUGCCGGGGGCACCU